GACGAACGCUGGCGGCGUGCUUAACACAUGCAAGUCGAACGGAAAGGCCCUGCUUUUGUGGGGUGCUCGAGUGGCGAACGGGUGAGUAACACGUGAGUAACCUGCCCUUGACUUUGGGAUAACUUCAGGAAACUGGGGCGAAUACCGGAUAGGAGCUCCUGCUGCAUGGGGGGGGUUGGAAAGUUUCGGCGGUUGGGGAUGGACUCGCGGCUUAUCAGCUUGUUGGUGGGGUAGUGGAUUACCAAGGGUUUGACGGGUAGCCGGCCUGGGAGGGUGACCGGCCACCUUGGGACUGAGGUACGGCCCAGACUCCUACGGGCGGCAGCAGUGGGGAAUAUUGCACAAUGGGCCGAAGCCUGAUGCAGCAACGCCGCGUGCGGGAUGACGGCCUUCGGGUUGUAAACCGCUUUCGCCUGUGCCGAAGCGUGAGUGACGGUAAUGGGUAAAGAAGCACCGGCUAACUACGUG
RNAcentral lists this ribosomal RNA (468 nucleotides) under uncultured bacterium. RNAcentral's name for it is "partial 16S ribosomal RNA". It matches the Rfam family "Bacterial small subunit ribosomal RNA", at positions 28 to 507 of the family's 1533-position model. The record is from RNAcentral.